Molecule: ribosomal RNA, 1364 nt
Filed under: metagenome
Description: bacterial LSU rRNA
Rfam family: Bacterial large subunit ribosomal RNA
Source: RNAcentral
UAAGGCGAAGUCACUGAUCCUAUGCUGCCAAGAAAAGCCCAACAGUGAGUUGGCACGGCACCCGUACCCCAAACCGACACAGGUGGGCGGGUAGAGAAUACCAAGGCGAUCGGGAGAACUAUGGUUAAGGAACUCGGCAAAUUGCAUCCGUAACUUCGGGAGAAGGAUGACCCUAUUAGGGUGAAGGGAUUUACUCCCAGAGCUCGAGAGGGUGGCACAGACCAGGGGGUAGCGACUGUUUACCAAAAACACAGCAGCGUGCCAAGCCGCAAGGCGCAGUAUACGCUGUGACGCCUGCCCAAUGCUGGAAGGUCACGGGGAACGGUUAGUCGUAAGGCGAAGCUGUGAACCUAAGCCCCAGUGAAUGGCGGCCGUAACUAUAACGGUCCUAAGGUAGCGAAAUUCCUUGUCGGGUAGGUUCCGACCUGCACGAAUGGCGUAACGACUUCCCCACUGUCUCAACCAUAGACCCGGCGAAAUUGAAGUACGAGUAAAGAUGCUCGUUAGCUGCGGAAGGACGAAAAGACCCCAUGGACCUUUACUAUAACUUGAUAUUGAGCUUUGUCCUGCAUUGUGUAGGAUAGGUGGGAGACUUGGAAGCGGUGGCGCCAGCUAUCGUGGAGUCAACGUUGAAAUACCACCCUGUGUAUGACGGGGCUCUAACCUGGGUCCAUUAUCUGGAUCAGGAACAGUGUCAGGCGGGUAGUUUGACUGGGGCGGUCGCCUCCUAAAAUGUAACGGAGGCGCCCAAAGGUUCCCUCAGGCUGGUUGGCAAUCAGCCGUCGAGUGCAAUGACACAAGGGAGCUUGACUGCGAGACUGACAGGUCAAGCAGGUGCGAAAGCAGGGCAUAGUGACCCGGCCAUCACGUGUGGAAGUGUGGUCGCUCAACGGAUAAAAGGUACCCCGGGGAUAACAGGCUAAUCUCCCCCAAGAGUCCAUAUCGACGGGGAGGUUUGGCACCUCGAUGUCGGCUCAUCGCAUCCUGGGGCUGAAGCAGGUCCCAAGGGUUGGGCUGUUCGCCCAUUAAAGCGGUACGCGAGCUGGGUUCAGAACGUCGUGAGACAGUUCGGUCCCUAUCCUCCGCAGCCGAAGGUGUAUUGAGGAAGGCUGUCCCUAGUACGAGAGGACCGGGACGGACGGAGCUCUGGUGUGUCUGUUGUCCUGCCAAGGGCAUUGCAGAUUAGCCACCUCCGGAAGGGAUAACUGCUGAAAGCAUCUAAGUAGGAAACCCGUUCCAAGAUGAGUACACCCAUGCGGUUAACGCAGUAAGGCCCGUGACAAGACCAUCACGUUGAUAGGCCGGAGGUGUAAGCACGGUAACGUGUGUAGCCGACCGGUACUAAUCGGCCGAGGGCUUGGACU